RNAcentral lists this ribosomal RNA (2927 nucleotides) under Klebsiella oxytoca. Its description in RNAcentral is "23S ribosomal RNA". It matches the Rfam family "Bacterial large subunit ribosomal RNA". The record is from RNAcentral. Lineage: Bacteria; Pseudomonadati; Pseudomonadota; Gammaproteobacteria; Enterobacterales; Enterobacteriaceae.
GGGUUGUGAGGUUAAGCGACUAAGCGUACACGGUGGAUGCCCUGGCAGUCAGAGGCGAUGAAGGACGUGCUAAUCUGCGAAAAGCGUCGGUAAGGUGAUAUGAACCGUUAUAGCCGGCGAUGUCCGAAUGGGGAAACCCAGUGCAAUUCGUUGCACUAUCGUUUGAUGAAUACAUAGUCAAACGAGGCGAACCGGGGGAACUGAAACAUCUAAGUACCCCGAGGAAAAGAAAUCAACCGAGAUUCCCCCAGUAGCGGCGAGCGAACGGGGAGCAGCCCGGAGUCUGAAUCAGCUUGUGUGUUAGUGGAAGCGUCUGGAAAGUCGCAGGGUACAGGGUGAUACUCCCGUACACUAAAACACACAGGUUGUGAACUCGAAGAGUAGGGCGGGACACGUGGUAUCCUGUCUGAAUAUGGGGGGACCAUCCUCCAAGGCUAAAUACUCCUGACUGACCGAUAGUGAACCAGUACCGUGAGGGAAAGGCGAAAAGAACCCCGGCGAGGGGAGUGAAAAAGAACCUGAAACCGUGUACGUACAAGCAGUAGGAGCCCACUAGUUGGGUGACUGCGUACCUUUUGUAUAAUGGGUCAGCGACUUAUAUUCUGUAGCAAGGUUAACCGUAUAGGGGAGCCGCAGGGAAACCGAGUCUUAACUGGGCGUUAAGUUGCAGGGUAUAGACCCGAAACCCGGUGAUCUAGCCAUGGGCAGGUUGAAGGUUGGGUAACACUAACUGGAGGACCGAACCGACUAAUGUUGAAAAAUUAGCGGAUGACUUGUGGCUGGGGGUGAAAGGCCAAUCAAACCGGGAGAUAGCUGGUUCUCCCCGAAAGCUAUUUAGGUAGCGCCUCGUGAACUCAUCUUCGGGGGUAGAGCACUGUUUCGGCUAGGGGGUCAUCCCGACUUACCAACCCGAUGCAAACUACGAAUACCGAAGAAUGUUAUCACGGGAGACACACGGCGGGUGCUAACGUCCGUCGUGAAGAGGGAAACAACCCAGACCGCCAGCUAAGGUCCCAAAGUCAUGGUUAAGUGGGAAACGAUGUGGGAAGGCCCAGACAGCCAGGAUGUUGGCUUAGAAGCAGCCAUCAUUUAAAGAAAGCGUAAUAGCUCACUGGUCGAGUCGGCCUGCGCGGAAGAUGUAACGGGGCUAAACCAUGCACCGAAGCUGCGGCAGCGACACUAUGUGUUGUUGGGUAGGGGAGCGUUCUGUAAGCCGUUGAAGGUGGCCUGUGAGGGUUGCUGGAGGUAUCAGAAGUGCGAAUGCUGACAUAAGUAACGAUAAUGCGGGUGAAAAACCCGCACGCCGGAAGACCAAGGGUUCCUGUCCAACGUUAAUCGGGGCAGGGUGAGUCGACCCCUAAGGCGAGGCCGAAAGGCGUAGUCGAUGGGAAACAGGUUAAUAUUCCUGUACUCGGUGUUACUGCGAAGGGGGGACGGAGAAGGCUAUGUUGGCCGGGCGACGGUUGUCCCGGUUUAAGCAUGUAGGCGGAUGUUCCAGGUAAAUCCGGAACGUCACUAACGCUGAGGUGUGAUGACGAGGCACUACGGUGCUGAAGUGACAAAUGCCCUGCUUCCAGGAAAAGCCUCUAAGCAUCAGGUAACAUCAAAUCGUACCCCAAACCGACACAGGUGGUCAGGUAGAGAAUACCAAGGCGCUUGAGAGAACUCGGGUGAAGGAACUAGGCAAAAUGGUGCCGUAACUUCGGGAGAAGGCACGCUGAUGGUAGGUGAAGUGACUUGCUCAUGGAGCUGAAAUCAGUCGAAGAUACCAGCUGGCUGCAACUGUUUAUUAAAAACACAGCACUGUGCAAACACGAAAGUGGACGUAUACGGUGUGACGCCUGCCCGGUGCCGGAAGGUUAAUUGAUGGGGUUAUCCGUAAGGAGAAGCUCUUGAUCGAAGCCCCGGUAAACGGCGGCCGUAACUAUAACGGUCCUAAGGUAGCGAAAUUCCUUGUCGGGUAAGUUCCGACCUGCACGAAUGGCGUAAUGAUGGCCAGGCUGUCUCCACCCGAGACUCAGUGAAAUUGAACUCGCUGUGAAGAUGCAGUGUACCCGCGGCAAGACGGAAAGACCCCGUGAACCUUUACUAUAGCUUGACACUGAACACUGGUCCUUGAUGUGUAGGAUAGGUGGGAGGCUUUGAAGUGUGGACGCCAGUCUGCAUGGAGCCAUCCUUGAAAUACCACCCUUUAAUGGCUGGUGUUCUAACGUGGGCCCCUGAUCGGGGUUGCGGACAGUGUCUGGUGGGUAGUUUGACUGGGGCGGUCUCCUCCUAAAGAGUAACGGAGGAGCACGAAGGUCAGCUAAUCCUGGUCGGACAUCAGGAGGUUAGUGCAAUGGCAUAAGCUGGCUUGACUGCGAGCGUGACGGCGCGAGCAGGUGCGAAAGCAGGUCAUAGUGAUCCGGUGGUUCUGAAUGGAAGGGCCAUCGCUCAACGGAUAAAAGGUACUCCGGGGAUAACAGGCUGAUACCGCCCAAGAGUUCAUAUCGACGGCGGUGUUUGGCACCUCGAUGUCGGCUCAUCACAUCCUGGGGCUGAAGUAGGUCCCAAGGGUAUGGCUGUUCGCCAUUUAAAGUGGUACGCGAGCUGGGUUUAGAACGUCGUGAGACAGUUCGGUCCCUAUCUGCCGUGGGCGCUGGAGAAUUGAGGGGGGCUGCUCCUAGUACGAGAGGACCGGAGUGGACGCAUCACUGGUGUUCGGGUUGUCAUGCCAAUGGCAUUGCCCGGUAGCUAAAUGCGGAAGAGAUAAGUGCUGAAAGCAUCUAAGCACGAAACUUGCCCCGAGAUGAGUUCUCCCUGACCCUUUAAGGGUCCUGAAGGAACGUUGAAGACGACGACGUUGAUAGGCCGGGUGUGUAAGCGCAGCGAUGCGUUGAGCUAACCGGUACUAAUGAACCGUGAGGCUUAACCUUACAACGCCGAAG